Molecule: unclassified non-coding RNA, 329 nt
Filed under: soil metagenome
Description: partial contains 5.8S ribosomal RNA, internal transcribed spacer 2, and large subunit ribosomal RNA
Rfam family: 5.8S ribosomal RNA (bases 1-120)
Source: RNAcentral
GAUGAAGAACGUAGCGAAAUGCGAUAAGUAAUGUGAAUUGCAGGAUUCAGUGAAUCAUCGAAUCUUUGAACGCACAUUGCGCCCUCUGGUAUUCCGGGGGGCAUGCCUGUUCGAGCGUCAUUAUAACCACUCAAGCUCUCGCUUGGUAUUGGGGUUCGCGGUUUCGCGGCCCCUAAAAUCAGUGGCGGUGCCUGUCGGCUCUACGCGUAGUAAUACUUCUCGCGAUUGAGUUCGAUAGGUCUACUUGCCAGUAACCCCCAAUUUUUACAGGUUGACCUCGGAUCAGGUAGGGAUACCCGCUGAACUUAAGCAUAUCAAUAAGCGGAGGA